This is a non-coding RNA of Oryza glumipatula, 206 nucleotides long. Lineage: Eukaryota; Viridiplantae; Streptophyta; Magnoliopsida; Poales; Poaceae. The record is from Rfam.
AAUAAGGGCAGUUGUAGAUUUUAGUGUCCAACUUUAACUAUCUGUUUUAUUUAAAAUAUUUUUAUGAUUAGUAAUUUUAUUGUUAUUAGAUGAUAAAAUAUGAAUAGUAAUUUAUGUAUGACUUAACUUUUAAAAUUUUUUCAUAAAUUUUUCAAAUAAGACGAAUAGUCAAACGUUGGUCAUGGAAACUUAUGGCUGCACUUAUA